This 210-nucleotide unclassified non-coding RNA is filed under the name plant metagenome. RNAcentral describes it as "partial contains small subunit ribosomal RNA, internal transcribed spacer 1, and 5.8S ribosomal RNA". The record is from RNAcentral.
UUUCCGUAGGUGAACCUGCGGAAGGAUCAUUCAUAAUAAAGUGUUUUAUGGCACUUUUAAAAAUCCGUAUCCACCUUGUGUGCAAUGUUAGAUCUCGUCAAUCUUGGCGAGAUUUUUAUACAUCAACUCAUUCUUUAACUAAUUUGUCUGAAAAAUAUUAUGAAUACUUAAUUCAAAAUACAACUUUCAACAACGGAUCUCUUGGCUCUC